CACGUAGGGAGCAAGCGUUGUCCGGAUUUAUUGGGCGUAAAGAGCUCGUAGGCUGUUCGAUAAGUCGGGUGUGAAACCUCCAGGCUCAACCUGGAGACGCCACCCGAUACUGUCAUGACUAGAGUCCGGUAGGGGAGCGUGGAAUUCCUGGUGUAGCGGUGAAAUGCGCAGAUAUCAGGAGGAACACCGGUGGCGAAGGCGGAUCUCUGGGCCAUUACUGACGCUGAGGAGCGAAAGCGUGGGGAGCGAACAGG
RNAcentral lists this ribosomal RNA (254 nucleotides) under uncultured bacterium. RNAcentral describes it as "partial 16S ribosomal RNA". It matches the Rfam family "Bacterial small subunit ribosomal RNA", at positions 524 to 776 of the family's 1533-position model. The record is from RNAcentral.